ACACGUAGGGGCCUGACGUUGUUCGGAAUCAUUGGGCGUAAAGGGCGCGCAGGCGGCCGUCCAAGUCCGGUGUUAAAUGGCCGGGCUCAACCCGAUCAUGCGCUGGAAACUGGGCGGCUUGAGUCCCGUAGGGGAUGCCGGAAUUCCAGGUGUAGGGGGGAAAUCUGUAGAUAUCUGGAAGAACACCGAUGGCGAAGGCAGGCAUCUGGGCGGAGACAGACGCUGAGGCGCGAAGGCGCGGGGAGCGAACAGGUUUAGAUACCCUGGUAGUCCGCGCAGUAAACGAUGCGCACCAGGUGUCGGGCGGCAGCGCCCGGUACCGGAGCUAACGCGAUGAGUGCGCCGCCUGGGGAGUAUGCCCGCAAGGGUGAAACUUAAAGGAAUUGACGGGG
This 392-nucleotide ribosomal RNA is filed under the name uncultured bacterium. Its description in RNAcentral is "partial 16S ribosomal RNA". It matches the Rfam family "Bacterial small subunit ribosomal RNA", at positions 523 to 918 of the family's 1533-position model. The record is from RNAcentral.